Molecule: long non-coding RNA, 361 nt
Organism: Priapulus caudatus
Lineage: Eukaryota; Metazoa; Priapulida; Priapulimorpha; Priapulimorphida; Priapulidae
Exons: 4
Source: RefSeq, a predicted model, not a curated record
GGAUGCUUCCCAACACGAGAGACGUCCUGAAGAACAUAAAAGGGACGAAAGCAGACACGCAGCAAGUAAACGGGAAGAAGGGAAGUAAGAAGAUUAGAAAAACGGACGUUGAAGCAAACUUACAGGACAUGUCUACGCGGCGGUGGCUGCAACAACACGGGCUAUCUGCUCUCGGCCUCACAACCACCGACGUCCUGCCAGCGACCGCUCCGCCGCGUGGUGGCGCCACCCGCGCACGACGAGCCGACAAACUACAGCGCCCCAAGACGUUGGACGGAGUGUUGUCUGUGCGGCAUUUAUCCUGGGAGAGGAAAGGAAGGUUUGCCAGCUCCUCUGAAGUAAAUCUGAUAGCAUAUGAGAA